Molecule: long non-coding RNA, 825 nt
Organism: Brassica napus (rape)
Lineage: Eukaryota; Viridiplantae; Streptophyta; Magnoliopsida; Brassicales; Brassicaceae
Exons: 3
Source: RefSeq, a predicted model, not a curated record
CAGAAUCUAGAAAUUCAUUUUUGUCUCUCCUCAUCUACCGUUCAUUUCUAAUUUCUACUAAUAUUUAUCUCUUAUUUGCUCCUCCUCCUCCGCAGCACCGCCGUGCUCUUCCCCAAGCUCUGCCGGAUGUAAGGUUACGUUCUCCCUCAACUUCUUUGCAAGUUAUUCGUCUUUCUCCCGUUGUCAUUUUUAUUGGCGAUGUCACUCUUAACUAAAUAAAGCGUAAAACUUCCUAGUUCUUCUAGUUCUGCUUGAACCAUUUUUUAGUGACAUAAGAUAGAAGCAAGCAUGCCUUCGUUAAAAAAAGAUUGAUUGCUGGAUACAUAUCCGAAACAUCAUUUGUUUGUCUGUAGCAAGCCAAUGAUAUGAAUCGGGAAAAUCUUGAAAGAAUGGUUGGAUCAGACGAUUCUGCUUUCAGCGGCUUAGAUCUUGCAACCCUCAUCAGGCAGAAGUCUGGAUGAUCUUAUGAUGUUCAGCUCAUCUAGAAGAGGAGGUUGGUGCUUUGAUUGUUAAAUCAAAGACUAGCUGGCUUUCUGCUGAGGAGAUUUGCAAAAUACUGAAACAAGCUGAGAGUAAAAACUUAACCGAGUCUGUGGAAAAGCCUCCCAUAGAUUCCAUUGGACUGUUCAUUUUCAGAGAGAAGAAGUUCUACGAUCAUUGGAGGUGGAAUGACGUGGGUGGAAGUAAGAGGAAGAGAGGUGGAAACAACAGGCUGGGAAAGAAGAAGAAGCUUUCGGGAAAUGAUGGAUGUAGCGUAAAUGUGAUGGAGUCCACUGGAUUGCUAGAAGACAAUUAUGUGAGAAGGGUGCAUAGGGAUUCCAAAAA